Molecule: non-coding RNA, 28 nt
Filed under: Mus musculus (house mouse)
Lineage: Eukaryota; Metazoa; Chordata; Mammalia; Rodentia; Muridae
Source: RNAcentral
UAGUCCACCCCGGUGAUGUACUUCCCCC